MicroRNA precursor from Cercocebus atys (sooty mangabey), 59 nucleotides. The record is from Ensembl. NCBI's taxonomy places the organism in Eukaryota, Metazoa, Chordata, Mammalia, Primates, Cercopithecidae.
GUGCAAAAGUAAUUGUGGUUCUUGCCAUUGAAAGUAAUGGCAAAAACUGCAAUUACUUU